GCGGGGGUAAUUCAGUGGUAGAAUGCCUCCUUGCCAAGGAGGAUGUCGCGAGUUCGAGUCUCGUCUCCCGCU
RNAcentral lists this transfer RNA (72 nucleotides) under Fusobacterium sp. CAG:815. It matches the Rfam family "tRNA". From Rfam's summary of the family: Transfer RNA (tRNA) molecules are approximately 80 nucleotides in length. Lineage: Bacteria; Fusobacteriati; Fusobacteriota; Fusobacteriia; Fusobacteriales; Fusobacteriaceae. RNAcentral also lists the same sequence under 5 other names. The record is from Rfam by way of RNAcentral.